RNA transcript from Bactrocera dorsalis (oriental fruit fly), 4702 nucleotides. RefSeq lists it as uncharacterized. The record is from RefSeq and is a predicted model, not a curated record. The transcript is spliced from 16 exons. Lineage: Eukaryota; Metazoa; Arthropoda; Insecta; Diptera; Tephritidae.
AUUUGAAUCUUUGGUGUUUUGCAAUUUGCAUUUUACUGUGAAUUUUAUCGCAUCUCGUUUAUUUUAACACGUAGUAAAGAACAAAGCGAACAUCGUUGUUGAAUUAUUUUAUAAAUUAAAUUUUAAUAAACAAAUUCUUUUAUGCAACAAUUGUAGUGCAAGUUUGUGAUUGUGUUUCUUGCCGCUUAGCGCUUUCGUUGAAGAAAAUUUUAAUGUAUUAAAGUUAAUAUUUACAACUGCUGCUAUAAAAAAAUAUUAAAAAGUUAUAACAAUGCAACGACAAUUCACCUCUGGCAGUCGCCAAGCGCCUGACCCAUUUGACCAAUUUUUGGAGGAGAACAAUUUUUAUCGCAAGCACACAGCACGCGAUGCUUCAUGCCUGUUUCGUGUGAUUUCGGAGCAAAUGUAUGACACGCAGCUGCAUCAUUUGGCCAUACGCAAAAAAUGCGUACGCUAUAUGCGCAAGCAUCGUGAUUAUUUUGCGCCGCUCGUUGAACGAGAUUUGGAUGAGUAUCUAGAUGAUAUGUCGAAACCUAAAACAUACGGGACGCUGAUCGAACUGCAGGCGGUUGGAUAUAUGUUCCAACGAAAUGUGUUGCUGUUUGAACCCUUUAACUUGGGCAAUUUUUAUAGUUCUCGCUCUUACUUCAAUGAUGUAUUUCGAGUAUUCUACACUCCCGAAAGACAUUUCGAUUCUGUUUUUACGUGUGACUAUAUAAAAGAUGCAGCUAUUUGCCAGGCCAUAUGCUACGAAAUCCUCUACAAAGAUUUAUAUAAGUUGCCGGAUGUUGCAUUUGCCGUUGAGCACAUGUUACAUUCGCCAACUUUGGAUGCUAUGGAGUACACAUCCGAAAACAAUGACGACGGCUACUGCACUCGUAUAGUGUUAACGGAUGGGCGUAGUUUUCACUUUGAUUUGCCACAUGAAACUAAUUGCAUUUUAGAAAAUUAUGAACUUUGCCAUUUCCAUCAUACGAAUUUUCCACGUUUAUCGGAUGAUUUGCAACGCGAAAUGAAAAUACACACAAAUUGCGAUGAUUAUGAAAAGUCCGCAUUGUGUAAGACGGCGGAAUCAUUGCUCCCCCAUAAAUAUAUAUCUUGUGUGCGCCAAUUGUUGCAAGAAGGUAUAACACCGUUUCCGUAUAAAGUUGCCAAAGCGUUGGAUCCAAACAUGUAUCGGAAUAUCGAAUUUGAUGCCUGGAAUGAACAGCGUAAAGAGCAAAAACUUCAAAACUGGUAUAAUGGCGAUACAAAUUUUAAGUUGAUACGCUGCCAGCAAACACGAGUUCAUAAAAUCUUCCAGGUGGGAGCCAAAUGUCAUGUGAAGCUAUGCAAAUCCGAAAAUGAUGUAUACACUUGUCAUAUACAAGAGAUUGCAGUUGACAAAGGCUACUGCAUUGUUUUUAUCGAACAAUUAGGCGAAAAGCGUUUGGUACCGUACGAGUCAUUAACUCCGCUGCCACCGGAACAAUUUAAGCCCUGGACGCUGCCAUAUCGCUUUCAGCGUCAUAUGCAAAAGUAUAGUUCUGUACGCUUGACACGUCACUACAAUUACCGUUUCAAACUGAACGGACAAUUUGCAUCUGCGCAUGAGUACUGUGCCGCCCCUUUAUCGCCCAAUAGUAAGUCAGCCGACUAUGUGCCUGGUAUAAUGGAUAGUGAUGUCAGUGAGAAAGACGAAAAACAGCAUUAUGUUUCAGCAGCUUCGCAUCAUCGUAACGGUUGCUACUAUAAAUUAAAACAAUAUACACAUUUUGAAAAUUUCCGUGCACAUACGGUUGAAUAUUGCGCAAUGCCACUAACGGUUGAGCAUGCGCCACGUGAGCAAGAAUCGAAAAGUGGCAAUGCUAAUGCAACGCCAUCGCAUGAGAAUCAAACCAAUGUGGCAGUACGCACCGUUGCACCAGAAACACGUAUAAAAACAGAAUCAAACGGGCAACAACAGCAGCAGCAACAACAACAACAACGCAUGGGAGCACCUGAAGAGUUGGUGGGUACUUUCAAUCCAAUAGAACAAUCGGCUGGCAUAGGCGCACCUGCAUUUAUUUUGCCUGAUGUUCAUUAUUUAUAUCCUGUACCUCAGUACGCGGCUGGUAUGCCGGAGGAAUACUAUACAUAUAGUUAUGAUCCUGCAAUGCAUCCACCACCCGCCACAGCACUAAUGCCAACCGGUUAUUAUAUGUAUCCACCACCAGGUGCUCCACCAGCAGCUUUUGCGCCGGCUCCUAAUAAUUUUUACAUGCCAACUGCUGCGCCAUUGCCACCACCACUCAUCACAGCGGCUACUGCACCGCAUCCACCAUCAGCGGUAGCACCUAAUAUCGCUGCUCCAUUUUAUCAAACUAAUACGCAUUUCGGUAGCAUGACACCAGCUGGUGCUGUCGAGACGCCUUCAAUGCAAAAUGCUACAACGCAAGCGUAUGAAACGCCUAUCACUCAUAAUCGAAGCAGUGGACAAACUCCAAAUAUGAACACACCAGUAACGGGUCGCAUUAAUUGGGAUGCUAAGAAAUCGGUAGAGGUGAGUGGCGUAGAUUUGCCAACUGACGUUGCCACCCUGCGGCACUUUUACAACCUGGGUUUGGAGUAUCAUCUGAUGCACAUGAAGCAACGUUGCAAUGAAGACAACGCAGCGAAAGCGACGGGACCACAAGGUGCCACAAAAGUGAAUGGCGGAAAUCAAAAUGAAGAUGUUACGUUAGAGCCAAAGCUUGAUUCUAACAAUAACAGCAUGCAGAAUCAAAAUUUGACUACACCGCAAACAAGCAACAUUAACGGUGGCAAUAACAUAUCGGGCGUUACACACACAACACAUAAUCAAAAUAGUAAUAAUAGUGGAACUGGUGGCGGCGGCGCCAAUAGUGGUAGUGGUAAAAGUGGUGGUGGUCACAUGCACAGGCGCUUUCCAUCGCGGUAUUACAACAGCAAUAAGGAGCGACCACUUUUUUUACGUAAUCAGAACAAUGCAAACAACCCUAAUGUGCAUAGCUCAAAUAACCACAAUCAAAGUGAUUACAAUAAUAGCAAUGGUAGUGUUGGCAAUAAGUAUGCCAGUUCGGUAAAAAGUAAUGGCGGUGGACACUAUAAUUCAAAUCGCAGCAAUACGCCAAAUUCAACACAUAGUCAUACGUCUGGUCACAAUGCAAAAGCUGUGAACCAAAACACCCCUGGCAUGGGUGGUGGUGUAGCCUCACUGGCGGUUUCAGUUGCCGAACAUGGCAUGCCAUCUCCGCAAGGAAACUUUGAUAACGCCAAUGGUGUUGGUAAAAUGAUAACACAUCCACAAAUGCCUGUAUACCAAACUCCGAAUGGCAACACUUUAAUGGCUGCACCUUACAAUCCGUACAAUGAAUUCAAUGGCGAUCCGUCUAUGUCGAUUGCUCCACCGAAUACGGCCGCCGGUGGUGGAAUCUUCCUCCACAUGCCAAUGCCAGCGCCAGCACAUACUUUUGGUAUUUACGCUCCCCCACAACCAGCAGCACCGCCAGGCGCUACUAUGGGCAUGCAUCCCACACCAACGUCCACAGCUGUAACCUACGGUGUAGCACCAAAUGGUGGUCCACCACAACAAUUUAUGCCAUCACCAUCAGAUGCAGUACCGAUACAAGCGCCAUCAAAUGGUUACUAUCCACCAGGAGAGCUUACAACCGUUGAGCCUAAUGGCACAAUACAUACUGGCGGCGACGGAUUACAGUUUCAAUGUAUACCGUAUCCUGGUACUGCUCCACCUCCACCAAUGCCUUUUUAUUACACAGCCGGUUCUGCGGUAGCGGCAGCCGGUGGUAUGCCAAUGAAUGGUAUUUCAACGGUACCACAACCGCAAUCUUCUACUGGUAGUGUUAAUGGAGGUGGCUGUGGUAAUUCAGCUGGUGUGCCAUCUGGACCGCAGGGCUACUGGUGUCAACCGCCAAAUGCUUUGCUACCACUACCAACAUCAACGCCACAAAUAAACGGCUCCUCUGCUUGCGUUUCAACAUCCAGCAACAAUAGCCCGCCAAAUAUGACCACAAACACUACAAAUAGCCGUCCACGUGACAGCAAAUAAAAACAAUUAAAAUUUCUUAUAAAACAUUACUAACUAACAGAUAUUUAUUUUUUCAACUAUAUUAAAAGCAAGUUUUUUUCGGAUAUAUUUUUCGCUCUUAUACGAUAUUAACUACAAUUGUUUAAAUAUUCACUAUAGUUAUAUAUUGUACAUCAAGUAAAGUGAAAUAGCCAAUGUAAUAUGAAAAAUGCAGUAAUGUCGCGAGAUACAUAUUAAUGAAAAAAUUUUAUGAAAAACGGAGGAAAAUAAGCUUACCGCGUUUAAAUUAAAGACCCAGUGUAAAAAUUUAAAGAUCUGCUUUCAAUUUGUUCGACUAUUACAACAUAGCAUCUUAUUAUAAAAUGUGCGCUUUCAUAAAAACAUUUAACUGCGUACGAGGUACUAUUGCUCGCAAAUGCCGAAAUUAUGGGAAACUGAACGGUUUAAUACGAAGUAAAAUAAAAAUUUUGGAUGCUGUGCUUUAAGCAAAAUAUUUUAUCUCUAUUGUCGAAUAUUGCAAACCGAAAAUUAGCCAUUGGCCUGCUUAUUUUACGCUUUUGGUACAAAUUAAUUAAAAUAAAACGCUCUAUAGUUGUGUGUGUUUAAUUUAUUUUAUAUUUAUUUAUUUGUAUAUUUAGAAAAAGUAAUUGUAAAAAUAAAUAAAAUGCUUAUUUUAAA